CCUACGGGUGGCAGCAGUGAGGAAUAUUGGUCAAUGGACGCAAGUCUGAACCAGCCAUGCAGCGUGCAGGAAGACGGCUCUAUGAGUUGUAAACUGCUUUUGUACGAGGGUAAACGCAGAUACGCGUAUCUGUCUGCAAGUACCGUACGAAUCAGGAUCGGCUAACUCCGUGCCAGCAGCCGCGGUAAUACGGAGGAUUCAAGCGUUAUCCGGAUUUAUUGGGUUUAAAGGGUGCGUAGGCGGUCGGAUAAGUUAGAGGUGAAAGCCUGAGGCUCAACUUCGGAAUUGCCGCUGAUACUGUUAGGCUAGAGAGUAGCUGCGGUAGGCGGAAUGUAUGGUGUAGCGGUGAAAUGCUUAGAGAUCAUACAGAACACCGAUUGCGAAGGCAGCUUACCAAGCUAUGUCUGACGUUGAGGCACGAAAGCGUGGGGAGCAAACAGGAUUAGAUACCCCAGUAGUC
RNAcentral lists this ribosomal RNA (460 nucleotides) under uncultured bacterium. Its description in RNAcentral is "partial 16S ribosomal RNA". It matches the Rfam family "Bacterial small subunit ribosomal RNA", at positions 338 to 795 of the family's 1533-position model. The record is from RNAcentral.